RNAcentral lists this transfer RNA (68 nucleotides) under Diplectrona hexapetala (nom. nud.). RNAcentral's name for it is "tRNA-Gln". The record is from RNAcentral. Lineage: Eukaryota; Metazoa; Arthropoda; Insecta; Trichoptera; Hydropsychidae.
UAUAUUUUAGUGUGAGUUGCACAAGAGAUUUUGAUUCUUUAAGUUAAAAUUAGUAUUUUAAGAUAUAA